Molecule: long non-coding RNA, 535 nt
Filed under: Homo sapiens (human)
Lineage: Eukaryota; Metazoa; Chordata; Mammalia; Primates; Hominidae
Description: HSALNT0282011
Source: RNAcentral
UAAUUCGAUGAUUCAUCAAGUGGCCCUGAUGUUAGCUACUGAGUAGGCGACUCACACCCAUCCCCAAUAGAGACAGCAUAUGGUCCUUUCCACAGGGUGCUCAGGAGAGCAGAGAAAGGAUAAACUACUGUCUUUUUCCGGGAUUCUUCUACCCAGGCUGGAAAGAUCUAGCCGUGUUAGCUGUGCAAAUGACGUGUACCCAGGAUCUGGUGAAAAAGGCCAAAGGGGAAUCCCUUAAUCAUAAAUGGAAAGAAAACCCACUGAUGAUGUCAUUGGAACUCGAAUUAAGAUUGAAAACUCCACAGGCACAUUUCCAUCUGUGGGUGUCAGCUGCUUGGUACACAGUCGUAAGAAGGCCUCAGCCAGUUCUCCCGUUACCUGAACCAAAUGUAUUUUAAAAUAAAUGAUGCAAAACAUUGCAUUUUGUGUUCAAAUACUCUCAUGUAAUGAUCUGAAUAAUAGUCUAAGAAAAUUGUUUUGAUUCAGCUAAAUGCUUUGCUAACCGCAGUUUUUUUAAAAAAAAAUUACAAUAAAA